Molecule: long non-coding RNA, 2601 nt
Filed under: Anolis carolinensis (green anole)
Lineage: Eukaryota; Metazoa; Chordata; Lepidosauria; Squamata; Anolidae
Description: lncRNA (ENSACAG00000038383.1)
Source: RNAcentral
AUGAAAAAUACAAAAAAGCUGAAUACCUGGGUGUGGGCCGAGGAUCCUCUACGGCCUCCGUCAAUCCCCUCCUUGAUGGAGAAAAAAAGUUCCGAGGAGGCGGUUCCGACUACAAGCAAACAAAGUUCUGUCAAGAAGCUCCCAGCAAUAACGACAAGGGAAAGGCGCCCCCUCUGGGAACUUCCUGGAAAAAAAGAAGAGGAAGCAAAGCAAAAAAAGGCCAGUAUCGAAGCCCGCAAAACUGAAGAAAAAUUCAAAAGAGAUCUUCUGGCUCGUCAAAAGAAGCUUGAAUACAAACAAUGGCGGGACCUCCAUUUGUUAGAUUACUGGCAACAGAAGGAAAGGCAGGAAAAGGAGUCCCUGGAGCGGCGGCAGCAAGAAAAAAAAGUACGCCGAGAAAGGGAGCUGGCAGCGGCGGCUCUCCUGGAGAAGAAGGAAGGGAUCCGCCUGAUCUACACGGGGUCGGACUGGAUCCGGCCCCCCUGCGUUCCAGGGGAUCCCUUCCUGACGGGAAAUAAGGAGAGCCGCCAACCAAUCGAUCAACAUCGCCAGCCCUACUUUCUGCCUCCCAUAAAAGAGGAAGCCAACGCCGCUGCUCCUGGGACCAGCUCUGCAACGUUCAACAAAACGAACUGGCCAUUUUUCCUUCCAAAGCCGCCACCCAGGACGUGAUGAUUUAUAUCCCGCAGAGGAUCCUCGAUGACAAUGACCGGCCCUUUGAAUUACGAAGCCCACACCCAGGACUUGAUGCUUUAAGAAAUAAAGUUUUGACUUUGAGUUUUUUCACUUUACCAUUGCUUUAAUAAAGUUUUGAAAAAUAAGUAUCCGACUUUGAGUUUUUUCACUUUACCGUUGCUUUAAUAAAGUUUUGAAAAAUAAGUAUCUGACUUUGAGUUUUUUCACUUUACCAUUGCUUUAGUAAAGUUUUGAAAAAUAAAUCUUUGACUUUGGGUUUUUUCACUUUACCAUUGCUUUAAUAAAGUUUUGAAAAAUAAAUCUUUGACUUUGAGGGGUUUUUUUUACUUUACCAUUGCUUUAAUAAAGUUUUCAAAACUAAAUCUUUGACUUUGAGGUUUUUUUCACUUUACAUUGGUUUAAUAAAUAAAGUUUUGAAAAAUAAAUCUUUGAGUUUUAGGGUUUUUUUCACUUUACCAUUUGUUGUGACUGCGCCUUCGGGAACUGUGGAUGAUAGUGGUGGGAUCAGGAGAGGAAGGAAAAAUAAUGAUAAUUAUCCUCCCAAAUAAUUUACUAAGAGAAAAUCUCAGUAUAUCAAAUUCACCUAUCAAAUUGACAACAUCAAUAAAAUAGUGGGUUGAAUUAAUAUCAAAUAUUACAGGAGUUAUUUUCUGACCAACCAGGCAAACAAAAUAAGUAGUAUCUGUUUAUACGGCAGGAAGAAGAGAUAUACAAAUUGAUAAAUAUUAAUUACUCCAACUAAUCAGUCAAACUACUGCAACUAGUUAUAAAACAUAAAUUUUUUGAGAUUUGAGGAAUGUGAUAUGUAGAUGAUAUAUAUUUUAUAGUUGAAUUUGAUACGAAUUUUGGAUGUAAUAAUAUUAAAUACUGUUAACAACUUAUAUACACAGAUAUACACCGAUUCUGAUCAUGGACUCUGAGAGAGUGGGCAGUUAUAAUACAAAUUGAAGAUGACUACCCCUAAAUCGAAGAUGGAGGAUAAAAAAAUUCCCGCGAGGAAGGGAUCAAUAGCCGAGGAAGUUCACUUAAAGGACAUUAGGAGAGAACUUCAGAGGAUUGUGGACAAUCAAAAAAUGUAUCAAGACCAAAUGGCAACCAUGAAAAAGGAUUUAACAGAGGAAUUUGUAGAAAUGAAAAAAGAAAUGAAAGGUCUACAAGAGGACAUUAAAGAAAUAAAAGAGGACGACAAAAAAUUAGAAAAAACACAAGACAAUUUUAAGAUCAAAUUAGAAAAACUAGAACUGAAGAAUGCUAAACUGGAAGAAAGACAGGAAAGAUUAGAAAAGAAAGAAUUGGAAUUCCAGGUAAGAAUAAGAAACAUAGUAGAGGAACCAAAAGAAAAUGUGAAGCAAAUUGUGACUCAAAUCCUAGCAGACCUAUUACAAGUACAAGACAAAGAGAUGGAAGAAAAUAUAGAGAGAGCUUUCAGAGUAACUACAAACUUUUUUUAAAAAAAAAGUGUCGAGAGAUGUGGUCGUCCAAUUCGAGAGAAGAAAGAUAAGAGAGGAAGUCCUGAGAAUAAGCAAAAAAAAUACUAUCCAGUAUAAAGGGCUAAAAGUAACGAUCCUCAAAGAACAUCUGUCCAGUACAAUGUAAAAACAAAAGAAAUAUCUCUUCCUUACAGAAGAACUUAAAAGGAGGCAAAUUCGGUUUAGGUGGGAAAGAAGAGAGGAAUUAUGGCCACUUACAAACAUGAAGAGCACUGGAUCACAUCAGAAAACAAGGCCAAGGAAUUUUACAAGAACCUGAUGAUAGAUAAAACCAAGCCAAACGCCAACAUCAGCCCCUCUGAGGAGGAACUAGAAAGAGAAAGGAAAAGAGCCAGAGCUAUUUUGCCGGAAAAAUAUACCACCCAAGUCGAUGCACUGCUUCCAAAUUUGAUAGACCUAGAAGAAAAAGAAGGGA